CACAUUCACCCCUCCACUGUCUCUUUCUCUCUCUCUAAUCUAUCAUUCUCUUUCUUCUUCGUUAGGAGCCAUCAGCGGCGGCCUCUGCGGGCCGUAAAUUGGCUGGUGGAACUGCUAGGCGCAGUAGCCAUCUCCGAGAACCACACCCAAAUGUAGGCGACUUUCUGGUUUUUCCUCUUGAGGCGGUGGAUUUGGAGCCGUUAGUUCCGCAGCGGUUCUGGCAGAAGCCGUCGACGUCGGACGCCGUUAGCACGACGUUGAUUGCGUUUGUCUGCUCACCCUUGGAGGCCAGAUGGAGGUCGGUGCCUGCUCGCACACCUCGCAGAUUCAGAUGCGGCCAUGGCGCAAGCUCCCAAAUCCAUUACAAUUUCUGAAUCGGUAUCCAUUACAAUUUGAUUCGAGGCUGACCCGCGUCGCGACGGAGCCGUAGAAGGUGAAGGGCGUUUUCCACCCUUACGAAUAGCGAUGAUGGUUGAAUACUUUAUUCGUUUUGUUGGUGUUUUUUAUUCAUAAUUAUAAUAUCUUUAUUCAUUUUUGUAUUAUGAAAUUAUUCUACUUGCUGCUUAUAAUUCAGAUCUUGACAGAAGCAGAAAUCUUGAAGCAGCUGCAAUGGCCGAUGGAGUCGACGAAGGAUAGUUCUACCUGCGCUACUUGAGUUGAGGAGAGUUAUGUAGCAUUUUAGUGUGCUGCAUUAGGUUGUAAAAUUACUGAAAGAUUAUUCAAAUUGUAACCCAAUUUGAUUUUACUAUGUUUGUUCAUUGUUAUGUUUGUCGUAUUCAUUUUUUUCACAUAAUUGUUCUUAUUAAUGUUCUGAAUAUCAUAUUCACAUUCUUGAGUAAUUUUGAAUAUGUUUGUGAAAGAUUUUGUUGAGGAAACGCCAAUAGCAACUUAG
This 892-nucleotide long non-coding RNA is filed under the name Salvia miltiorrhiza (redroot sage). RNAcentral describes it as "long non-coding RNA (SMIL_LNC008244)". Lineage: Eukaryota; Viridiplantae; Streptophyta; Magnoliopsida; Lamiales; Lamiaceae. The record is from RNAcentral.